This 424-nucleotide ribosomal RNA is filed under the name uncultured bacterium. RNAcentral describes it as "bacterial SSU rRNA". It matches the Rfam family "Bacterial small subunit ribosomal RNA", at positions 355 to 776 of the family's 1533-position model. The record is from RNAcentral.
UAGGGAAUAUUGGACAAUGGGCGAAAGCCUGAUCCAGCCAUGCCGCGUGAUAGAUGAAGGCCCUCUGGGUUGUAAAUAUCUUUUAUCUGGGAAGAAACUCCUCUAUUCUUAGAGGCCUGACGGUACCAGAGGAAUAAGCACCGGCUAACUCCGUGCCAGCAGCCGCGGUAAUACGGAGGGUGCAAGCGUUAUCCGGAUUCACUGGGUUUAAAGGGUGCGUAGGCGGGUGUAUAAGUCAGUGGUGAAAGCUCCAGGCUUAACUUGGAAAUUGCCAUUGAUACUGUAUAUCUUGAAUGUCGUUGAGGUAAGCGGAAUGUUGCAUGUAGCGGUGAAAUGCUUAGAUAUGUUACAGAACACCAAUUGUGAAGACAGCUUACUAAGCGAUGAUUGACGCUGAGGCACGAAAGCGUGGGGAGCAAACAGG